UGGGGAAUUUUGGACAAUGGGCGAAAGCCUGAUCCAGCAAUGCCGCGUGUGUGAAGAAGGCCUUCGGGUUGUAAAGCACUUUUGUCCGGAAAGAAAUCCUUGGCUCUAAUACAGUCGGGGGAUGACGGUACCGGAAGAAUAAGCACCGGCUAACUACGUGCCAGCAGCCGCGGUAAUACGUAGGGUGCAAGCGUUAAUCGGAAUUACUGGGCGUAAAGCGUGCGCAGGCGGUUUGCUAAGACCGAUGUGAAAUCCCCGGGCUCAACCUGGGAACUGCAUUGGUGACUGGCAGGCUAGAGUAUGGCAGAGGGGGGUAGAAUUCCACGUGUAGCAGUGAAAUGCGUAGAGAUGUGGAGGAAUACCGAUGGCGAAGGCAGCCCCCUGGGCCAAUACUGACGCUCAUGCACGAAAAGCGUGGGGAGCAAAACAGGAUUAGAUACCCUGGUAGUCCACGCCCUAAAACGAUGUCAACUAGUUGUUGGGGAUUCAUUUCCUUAGUAACGUAGCUAACGCGUGAAGUUGACCGCCUGGGGAGUACGGUCGCAAGAUU
Molecule: ribosomal RNA, 550 nt
Filed under: uncultured bacterium
Lineage: Bacteria
Description: partial 16S ribosomal RNA
Rfam family: Bacterial small subunit ribosomal RNA
Source: RNAcentral